This 253-nucleotide ribosomal RNA is filed under the name uncultured bacterium. Its description in RNAcentral is "partial 16S ribosomal RNA". It matches the Rfam family "Bacterial small subunit ribosomal RNA", at positions 524 to 776 of the family's 1533-position model. The record is from RNAcentral.
UACGUAGGGGGCUAGCGUUGUCCGGAUUUAUUGGGCGUAAAGAGCGUGUAGGCGGCCAGGUAGGUCUGGUGUGAAAACUCGAGGCUCAACCUCGAGACGCCGGUGGAAACCAUCUAGCUAGAGUCCGGAAGAGGAGAGUGGAAUUCCUGGUGUAGCGGUGAAAUGCGUAGAUAUCCGGAGGAACACCGGUGGCGAAGGCGGCUUCCUGGACCGAUACUGACGCUGAGGCGCGAAAGCUAGGGGAGCAAACGGG